This 124-nucleotide small RNA is filed under the name Marmota monax (woodchuck). Lineage: Eukaryota; Metazoa; Chordata; Mammalia; Rodentia; Sciuridae. The record is from RNAcentral.
GCCAGGCACAGUAGCGCACGCCUGUCAUCCCAGCAGUUGGGAGGCUGAGGUAGGAGGAUCACGAGUUCAAAGCCAGCCUCAGCCAAAAGGAGGCCCUAAGCAACUCAGUGAGACCCUGUCUCUA